GAUUAACGCUGGCGGCGUGCCUAAUACAUGCAAGUCGAACGAACUUACUAGAGUCUAGAAGCCGGAAUUUAGAAUUUAGGCUAAGGAGCAAUCCUAGAACCUUAAUUCUUGAUUCUUAAUUCUUGAUUCUUGUAAGUUAGUGGCGGACGGGUGAGUAACACGUUGGUACCUGCCCCGAAGUGGGGAAUAACUGGCCGAAAGGUCGGCUAAUACCGCAUAGUCUCGUGCUUGUCACGAGUAAAGGUCGCCUAGGCGACCGCUUCGGGAGGGGCCU
Molecule: ribosomal RNA, 274 nt
Filed under: uncultured bacterium
Lineage: Bacteria
Description: partial 16S ribosomal RNA
Rfam family: Bacterial small subunit ribosomal RNA
Source: RNAcentral